UGGGGAAUAUUGGACAAUGGGCGAAAGCCUGAUCCAGCCAUGCCGCGUGUGUGAAGAAGGUCUUCGGAUUGUAAAGCACUUUAAGUUGGGAGGAAGGGCAGUUACCUAAUACGUAAUUGUUUUGACGUUACCGACAGAAUAAGCACCGGCUAACUCUGUG
RNAcentral lists this ribosomal RNA (160 nucleotides) under Pseudomonas sp. Fresh_NPK(16a). Its description in RNAcentral is "partial 16S ribosomal RNA". It matches the Rfam family "Bacterial small subunit ribosomal RNA", at positions 355 to 507 of the family's 1533-position model. The record is from RNAcentral. Lineage: Bacteria; Pseudomonadati; Pseudomonadota; Gammaproteobacteria; Pseudomonadales; Pseudomonadaceae. RNAcentral also lists the same sequence under 5 other names.